Molecule: ribosomal RNA, 484 nt
Filed under: uncultured bacterium
Lineage: Bacteria
Description: partial 16S ribosomal RNA
Rfam family: Bacterial small subunit ribosomal RNA
Source: RNAcentral
AUUGAACGCUGGCGGCAGGCCUAACACAUGCAAGUCGAGCGGAUGAAGGGAGCUUGCUCCUGGAUUCAGCGGCGGACGGGUGAGUAAUGCCUAGGAAUCUGCCUGGUAGUGGGGGAUAACGUCCGGAAACGGGCGCUAAUACCGCAUACGUCCUGAGGGAGAAAGUGGGGGACCUUCGGACCUCACGCUAUCAGAUGAGCCUAGGUCGGAUUAGCUAGUUGGUGGGGUAAAGGCCUACCAAGGCGACGAUCCGUAACUGGUCUGAGAGGAUGAUCAGUCACACUGGAACUGAGACACGGUCCAGACUCCUACGGGAGGCAGCAGUGGGGAAUAUUGGACAAUGGGCGAAAGCCUGAUCCAGCCAUGCCGCGUGUGUGAAGAAGGUCUUCGGAUUGUAGAGCACUUUAAGUUGGGAGGAAGGGCAGUAAGUUAAUACCUUGCUGUUUUGACGUUACCAACAGAAUAAGCACCGGCUAACUUCGUG